UACAGAGGGUGCUAGCGUUGUUCGGAAUCAUUGGGCGUAAAGGGCGUGUAGGCGGUUUGUUAAGUCAUGUGUGAAAUCCCUCGGCUCAACCGGGGAAGGACGCAUGAAACUGGCAAGCUAGAGUACCAAAGAGGGGGGUGGAAUUCCCGGUGUAGCGGUGAAAUGCGCAGAUAUCGGGAGGAACACCUGUGGCGAAGGCGGCCCCCUGGUUGGAUACUGACGCUGAUACGCGAAAGCGUGGGGAGCAAACAGG
RNAcentral lists this ribosomal RNA (253 nucleotides) under uncultured bacterium. RNAcentral describes it as "partial 16S ribosomal RNA". It matches the Rfam family "Bacterial small subunit ribosomal RNA", at positions 524 to 776 of the family's 1533-position model. The record is from RNAcentral.